UACGGAGGGUGCAAGCGUUGCUCGGAAUUAUUGGGCGUAAAGGGUAUGUAGGCGGUCUCAUUUGUCUGAGGUGAAAGCCUUGGGCUUAACCCAAGAAGUGCCUCAGAAACGGUGAGACUAGAGUCCUAGAGAGGGUCGUGGAAUUCCCGGUGUAGCGGUGAAAUGCGUAGAGAUCGGGAGGAACACCAGAGGCGAAGGCGGCGACCUGGAUAGGUACUGACGCUCAACUACGAAAGCGUGGGGAGCAAACAGG
RNAcentral lists this ribosomal RNA (253 nucleotides) under uncultured bacterium. RNAcentral describes it as "partial 16S ribosomal RNA". It matches the Rfam family "Bacterial small subunit ribosomal RNA", at positions 524 to 776 of the family's 1533-position model. The record is from RNAcentral.